GCUACAGGCUUAACACAUGCAAGUCGAGGGGCAGCAUCAUCAAAGCUUGCUUUGAUGGAUGGCGACCGGCGCACGGGUGAGUAACACGUAUCCAACCUGCCGACAACACUGGGAUAGCCUUUCGAAAGAAAGAUUAAUACCGGAUGGCAUAGUUUUCCCCGCAUGGGAUGACUAUUAAAGAAUUUCGGUUGUCGAUGGGGAUGCGUUCCAUUAGGCAGUUGGCGGGGUAACGGCCCACCAAACCGACGAUGGAUAGGGGUUCUGAGAGGAAGGUCCCCCACAUUGGAACUGAGACACGGUCCAAACUCCUACGGGAGGCAGCAGUGAGGAAUAUUGGUCAAUGGACGAGAGUCUGAACCAGCCAAGUAGCGUGAAGGAUGACUGCCCUAUGGGUUGUAAACUUCUUUUAUACGGGAAUAAAGUUAGCCACGUGUGGCUUUUUGUAUGUACCGUAUGAAUAAGGAUCGGCUAACUCCGUGCCAGCAGCCGCGGUAAUACGGAGGAUCCGAGCGUUAUCCGGAUUUAUUGGGUUUAAAGGGAGCGUAGGCGGGUUGUUAAGUCAGUUGUGAAAGUUUGCGGCUCAACCGUAAAAUUGCAGUUGAUACUGGCGACCUUGAGUGCAACAGAGGUAGGCGGAAUUCGUGGUGUAGCGGUGAAAUGCUUAGAUAUCACGAAGAACUCCGAUUGCGAAGGCAGCUUACUGGAUUGUAACUGACGCUGAUGCUCGAAAGUGUGGGUAUCAAACAGGAUUAGAUACCCUGGUAGUCCACACAGUAAACGAUGAAUACUCGCUGUUGGCGAUAUACAGUCAGCGGCCAAGCGAAAGCAUUAAGUAUUCCACCUGGGGAGUACGCCGGCAACGGUGAAACUCAAAGGAAUUGACGGGGGCCCGCACAAGCGGAGGAACAUGUGGUUUAAUUCGAUGAUACGCGAGGAACCUUACCCGGGCUUAAAUUGCAACUGACUGAACCGGAAACGGUUCUUUCUUCGGACAGUUGUGAAGGUGCUGCAUGGUUGUCGUCAGCUCGUGCCGUGAGGUGUCGGCUUAAGUGCCAUAACGAGCGCAACCCUUAUCGAUAGUUACUAGCAGGUCAUGCUGAGGACUCUAUUGAGACUGCCGUCGUAAGAUGUGAGGAAGGUGGGGAUGACGUCAAAUCAGCACGGCCCUUACGUCCGGGGCUACACACGUGUUACAAUGGGGGGUACAGAAGGCAGCUACACGGCGACGUGGUGCUAAUCCCGAAAGCCUCUCUCAGUUCGGAUUGGAGUCUGCAACCCGACUCCACGAAGCUGGAUUCGCUAGUAAUCGCGCAUCAGCCACGGCGCGGUGAAUACGUUCCCGGGCCUUGUACACACCGCCCGUCAAGCCAUGAAAGCCGGGGGUACCUGAAGUACGUAACCGCAAGGAGCGUCCUAGGGUAAAACUGGUGAUUGG
RNAcentral lists this ribosomal RNA (1435 nucleotides) under uncultured organism. Its description in RNAcentral is "SSU rRNA". It matches the Rfam family "Bacterial small subunit ribosomal RNA". The record is from RNAcentral.